UGGGGAAUAUUGGGCAAUGGGCGCAAGCCUGAUGCAGCAACGCCGCGUGAGGGAAGACGGUUUUCGGAUUGUAAACCUCUGUCUUCGGUGAAGAAACAAAUGACGGUAGCCGAGGAGGAAGCCACGGCUAACUACGUGCCAGCAGCCGCGGUAAUACGUAGGUGGCGAGCGUUGUCCGGAAUUACUGGGUGUAAAGGGAGCGCAGGCGGGGAAACAAGUCAGCUGUGAAAACUAUGGGCUUAACCCAUAAACUGCAGUUGAAACUGUUUUUCUUGAGUGGAGUAGAGGUAGGCGGAAUUCCGAGUGUAGCGGUGAAAUGCGUAGAUAUUCGGAGGAACACCAGUGGCGAAGGCGGCCUACUGGGCUCUAACUGACGCUGAGGCUCGAAAGUGUGGGGAGCAAACA
RNAcentral lists this ribosomal RNA (405 nucleotides) under uncultured prokaryote. Its description in RNAcentral is "bacterial SSU rRNA". It matches the Rfam family "Bacterial small subunit ribosomal RNA", at positions 355 to 774 of the family's 1533-position model. The record is from RNAcentral.